This 22-nucleotide microRNA is filed under the name Citrus sinensis (sweet orange). RNAcentral describes it as "csi-miR156f-3p". Its record names the gene csi-miR156f-3p. Lineage: Eukaryota; Viridiplantae; Streptophyta; Magnoliopsida; Sapindales; Rutaceae. The record is from miRBase by way of RNAcentral.
GCUCUCUCUUCUCCUGUCAUUG